This 253-nucleotide ribosomal RNA is filed under the name uncultured bacterium. RNAcentral describes it as "partial 16S ribosomal RNA". It matches the Rfam family "Bacterial small subunit ribosomal RNA", at positions 524 to 776 of the family's 1533-position model. The record is from RNAcentral.
UACGGGGGGGGCCAGCGUUGUUCGGAAUUACUGGGCGUAAAGGGCGCGUAGGCGGCCUUCUAAGUCAGACGUGAAAUCCCUCGGCUCAACCGGGGAACUGCGUCUGAUACUGGAGGGCUUGAAUUCGGGAGAGGGAUGCGGAAUUCCAGGUGUAGCGGUGAAAUGCGUAGAUAUCUGGAGGAACACCGGUGGCGAAGGCGGCAUCCUGGACCGAUAUUGACGCUGAGGCGCGAAAGCCAGGGGAGCAAACGGG